UGGAAGUUCCCAGACUAGGGGUUGAAUUGGAGCUACAUCUGCCAGCCCAUGCCACAGACACAGCAAGGCAAGAUAAGAUCCUAGCCAAGUCUGUGGCCUACACCACAGCUUAUGGCAAUACCAGAUCCUUAACCCACUGAGCGAGGCCGGGAAUCAAAGCCACAUCCUCAUGGAUCCUUGUCAGGUUUGUUACCACGGAGACAUGACAGGAACUCCUGAGAAAUCUUUAGAAACCAACGGAAAGGAAAGAGAGGGAAAACAUUUAAUAGUCACCAAAAGCAAUCAAGAAAAUAAAAGAUCCAAGAAAUACUGGAAGAUUUACAAGAUGACUCAGAUAUUUUAAAGGAUAAAUUAUCAACUCAUUUGAUAAAUGUGCAUUGGACCCCUAUCAGGAUUCAAGGCAUGAGACACAAAGAUAAAGGAGAAUUGGGUCCUGCCAUUUUAGGGAGUUUAGGGACCCAUUAAGAUCUAAGCAUAUGAGUCCUUCUCAAACCAAGAAGUACGUUGAAGUCAUCUGGGAGAAUGUCUUCAAAUUACCAAUGGUCAGACUUACAUCUGGGCCAAUUAUACAAGCACCUGUACCCCCCAACAGUUUUUAAAAGACUUUGAGCUGGACCAUGGAGGUGGGUGGGGACUUGAACAUAGACAGGGGGUGGCCUGGGAUGGCAUUAUUAGCUGAAAUUACAAGAGAAAAAUCACCAGGAUCGAAGACCAAGGGCAUGUAACAGCAAAAAAUAAAAACAAGUGAUUCAAUUUCCUCUGUUCAGAGGUCUGAGAAGGGUAAUAAAACCUAGAAUAAGGUGGGUGUUAAACUGUGCAGAAAAUGGAGAACCUCGGAAUAUUUCUGAGAAAAGAAUAAAACUGUAAGUCAAAUAAUUAAUCUUUGAAAAACUCUUAAAAUAAAGGGUCUGGGGAAGAGACAAAGGCAAGUCAAGUUUCACGUCUAAAGCAAAAAGCCUAAAAUAAAGCACUAGCUCACUUGGUUAGCAUGGGAACUCUCCUGGCUGACUCCCUUUCAGGCUCAUCCAGGGUGUGUCAGAUUCCCUUAAGGGGCGGGGCUAUGCCUUGCAGUCAUCUUCUAAUUUGUUUUUCCUGGAUGCUCUCAUGGCUGCUCAUUCAGUUCUCAUCUGUACGCACACGGUUUGGAAAUUCUCCUCCUGAGCCCCACCUGGCACUCAGAGUGGCAGCACUAACUGCCUAUUAGCCUCCCUCCUUGGGCAUACCUCAAACUCACUAGGUCCAAAACUGGACUAAUGAUAUUCCCCAUGGAGCCUAGUGCUCUUUAUUUCCCUUUUCUCUGGAAAUGGAAAUGGAUAGGAUUACCCAGUCACAGGCCAGAUAUAUGCAAGUCAUUUUUGACACUCUUUAUCCCCCAACCCAGCCUACCAGAAGGUCCUGUGGCUAUGAGCUUGUAUGCAUCCCUCAGAGUCCUCCUGUGCUUGUCCCCUCUAUCAGCACCUCCUUAGCCCAACCCGCCAUCUUCCUUUGCUUGGCUGUUUCCAUAACACUCUUGACUUAGUGACUCAAAUUCACUAUUGCCCUCGCUAUGGCCAACUCCAAGUCACUAGCUCAAAUGCCAAAACUAACCACAUCACCACUGCACGUAAAAUCAUUCGGUGGCUUCCAUUCAUCUUAUGAUAAGUACGAAAUGCCUCAGCAGGGCCUGGCUAUCCUCUGAAGACAGCGAAGACAGCCACGAAUGACUUCUUUCAGCCCUGCACCUUUGCCCUGCUUGCUCCACCAAGGGGCCACUGUACACAGUUCCAUCAGUCAAGAGCUUGUUUUCCCUAUGUGGACAAUUAAACUCUAAACCACCCUUCAAAUCCCAGUAAAGUUAUCACUUCCUCCAGGCAUCCUUCCCUCAUCUUCUUGCCAUCUAACAGGCUCUUACAUUUUUCCUUUUAAAGCUCUUCACUGGGAUGAAAUGCUACGUUUGGUGGACCUACAUUUGAUGCAAGUAUUUGAUUCAUUCCUGUUCUCACACCACUCUUACCACUAAAUCAUCCUAGUUAUGGGGCUGGAGUGAACAAAACAUAUAAAAAAGAGUGAGCAGGAGACAAGGAACUGAGUCAAGAGAUCUUCUUAAGAUACACUAAAUUUAAAGGAAAAGGUGGAGUCAAGGAUGAUUACAAAGAUUUUAAGUCUGGAUGUCUAAGAAUACAUGAGCAACUAGUUUAGUACCCAUCCUGGUUCAAACUGACUUGGUUCAUUUUUAUGUUGUUUUCCUUGUUUCACUUUCCACCAUUCCAAUUCCUACACCAAAGAGCCCUAGUAUUUUAUUUAAGGUAAAUGACCUAAGGUUGGCUGCCACCAGAAAUGUUCCAACAGAGAGCCCAAGUGCCAUAAUUAGUACAGGCUUAAAAGUACCCCAGAGUCACACCCACUCUCCCAUUCUCUCCAGUAUUAAAUAUUAAAUACCAACACAGAGUGAAACUUUACCUUAGGUCAAACAAAACUUCCCUCAUAUGGAAAAGUCCAGGGGCAUGCAUGAAUAAUGAAGUUAUUGGAUUAUUGAAUCCUUCAUAGUUUAUUUUUAGUCUUAAUCUAAUUUCAGUAGUCCAGAAAUAUUAACAUAUAGUGUCUACCAUCACAAAACAUUUCUUCACAAAAUAAUGAAGUACAUAUUCAACAGGUGCUAAGAUUUGAAUUUAUUUCACCUUAAAAAAAAAUUAUUCUCUUACACUGGUGACUAUUGGGUUAAACCUGAAUUAUUUUAUGAAACCUGGUAGGUUCCUGCUCAGUAACUACUUCUGUUGUUAAGCCAUAUUUUUUUGCCCUUGCACUUUUACAGUGGAGGUAUUAAAGUCUAUUUUUUAAGCUAAAGCUAUUUUAUAAUAAACUGUUCUGGAGAUGGCGCCAUUUCUGCAUUCAAAUCAAGUGUUUCUGAAUUUAAAAACAUAUAUAUUAUUAUAGAGUUAUUGCACCUACAAGAGUUGCCAAAUAUUUGCAAUAUUUUUGAAAUAAUAAUAAGGACAGGUAUAGACAAUAAAAAGCUACCAAAGGAUUUCUGAAAAAUAAAUUACAUUCAGAGGUCUUAGAGAGUUUCCUACAAGUAAAGGAAUUAUGAGCUUCAUUCUGUCUCAGCAAGAUAUCCAAUGUAAGGGAAUGCUCAAUUCUAUAUAUCAACUUUAUGAUACAUCUAUAUGACUCAAAAGUUUCCAGCGAUAUUAUUUCUCUUUGGUGGGGGAGUUGAUAUAAAUGGUACAAGUGUUUACUAAUGCUUAUCUACAUUUACGAUAGUGUAAAUCAAGAGCCACGUAAUAAACUAUCAAUUUGAAUGGAUAACCUUCUAUUCAUGGUCUACAAGGAUGUAAGACAUACUGACAUUACUCAUUCUAGGCUGACCAGCUGAAGAAGAGCAUCCAGUGAGGCAAACAGGGCACUGCCUAACAACAGAAAGUAUCUAAUUUAUGUUAACAGAAGCCACUGUUUGCACAAGACUAUCUUGUUUGCGCGGGGGGGGGGGGGGGGGGGGGGGGGAGACAAAGAAAAUCCCAUAAUGCAACAGUAACACUGCCCUCCUCUGCAGCACUGAGAGAUGCCCACUAUAGGAUACCACCUUCAGCCAACAUCACCUUCACUUUAAAAAUCAUUACAGGGAGUUCCCAUUGCAGCCAGUGGAAACGAAUCCGUCUAGGAACCAUGAGGUUGCAGGUUCGGUUCCUGGCCGCGAGCAGUGGGUUAAGGAUCUGUCGUUGCUGUCACCUGUGGUAUAGGUCACAGACACGGCUUGGAUCUGGCAUGGCUGUGGUGGAGGCUGGCAGCUACAGCUCCGAUUAGACCCCUAGCCUGGGAACCUCCAUAUNAAAAAAAAAAAAAAAAAAAAAAAAAAAAAAAAAAAACUCAUUACAGCCGCUCUCUUCCCUCCUUCUAGUUUUCUACCAAGAAACUAUCACCUUGACCUUUUAUAAAAAGGAAAAAAAUAUAUAUUUUUCUGAACUAGCUUGACCAUCUCUUUGGCAGGGUUGAGAAGCCUUCCUUGAAACUUUCUGCUGUAACAUCACCUUGCCACCCUCUCCCGCUCCUUUUCUAUUUAGAGUAAAUGAGAAUUAUGGUCCUUCUGUAAACACUACACAUUCUCCAGAGAUCUGAAGACAGGGAGGGCUCAGAGUCACUCAGUGCAACUGAGCAAACAUUUAUUGAGCUGCUGUAUUUCUCAAUGGGCCUGAGAAUUAAAAAUAAAUAACAUUUGAGCCAACUCCCUUCAAAGAUUUCACUGUCUAUUAUAGAAGACAAACAUCUGCUAAAAACAAAGAAGUGAAAAAACAGAGGUGUGCCCUGGUUCUUCAGGAUGAAGGGGGGGCGGUGAACGUCAAUUUUGCCUGAUGAAUUUUGAAUCCCAUAGGGUUUUCUCAAGACCCAGAGUCAGACAUAUACUCUGCAUCUCUUCCUGACCCUUAUCUAACAAACAAAAAUGUUAUAUUUAUUUAAGUAAACUUGAGUUAAGACAAAUCAAGAGAGUCUUCUUUAAAGACAGGAAAAGCAUUAAAAGGGGUAAGGAAUAUACUGGGGGUAGGCUGGGGGUCUUGGGAUUCACAGUGAUUUGCAUAGGUAUGAAGGGAGAGGUAGAGGUCAGGUUUCCAGAAUCCACGCCCUCCCCUCACUCUGUUUUUAAGCCAUUUGCUUUCUGAGCUAAGGUGCAGCAAUACACAGCCAGCAGGACAGGGCCCAUUCCCAGUCCCUCAGAGCCCAGAACUGCAGCCAUCACUCUAAAUUCCCACACCCAAGGCACACAUGGGUCUUUCAGUCCACUGUCCACAAUCUGAAUACAAUCCUCUUUUUCAAUGUCAAAGCAACACCUUAUAAACAGAGCUGCUGGUUACUAGCCUCUGUUCGGUAUUUCAGCAAAAGAGCUAGGCUGGUUCCUGCCCAUUUCAGUCUCCUUCACCUCUUAGCUAGUGGAACACAGAUGUGAACCAGCUGGCACAAGCCAGGACCACUCGGUGGUUCUGCUGAAGCAAUUCCAAACAUUACCACGUUUUGUCCUUGCACGUUAUCUCUGAAGUCUCCAAAGGACUCCUCGAUGACAAGGUGUUUCCAUUUUCCCUCUCUGAUUUUAUCCUCAUCGUUUGCUAAAGCAAGCAUUAUUUCUUCAACUUUCAAAAGGAAAAAUGAAGCCUCAGAAAGCUUAAAUUACUACUCUGAAUAAAUUCUAAGAGUAAACGUUAAAAACAUUUGGACAGAUUCAGGAGCCUGACACCCAAAAUCACAAACUAGUGAGUCAUAGACAUUUUUGAUUUGGUCCACUGGGCAGGUUUUUUUUUUAAUUAAAAUGUUAAAAGUUGUAUAUUUCACGUAAUAAUACAGAUUUUUAUUUUUUAGACACAGAUGUUCAGAAUCCCUUGAAAAACUGGAACCCAGAAGCUCUGAAAUUCUGGGCUAAAUCUCUAUGAAAACAAUAGAGUGGGGAGGCAGAGCAUCUGUCACAGCCUGAACCACCCCAUGAGAUGAACUAGUCGUUCAUUUCAUAUCAUCUUAUCUUACCCAGAAGUGAGGGCACUUGAAUUGUCAACCACACUGCCAAACCUUAUCACAAGGUAUAAAUCCUUAAUGGUCUAAAGACAGAAAUCUACAAGUGCCAGAUGCUAUCUCACCCAACAGCCUCAGAGUAUUCUCCUUUAUGUCACCAAGCCAUACUCACUCACACAAACUCCAUGCAAAUGUCAUCUGCUCAACAACCAUGCUACCACCUUAUAUGUACUUAACCAGGGAUAGAAAAAAAUGGAAAAUACUUCCUCUAAAAGAGCCAAUAUCACAACCAAAUCAGUUAUAAAUUGUUAUAAACUAUUUACAUAUUUGUGGAAGGGGGAAAAUGUUGGAUUCAAACCCCUAUCUCAAGCCCUAUACCACCUCCCUAUUUUAAAGGAAACACUUUAAUCUUCUGGCAACCCACAUCUGUUCACUUUUCAAUGACCGCAGGAUGGGUCAAGGAAGGUUUAAAUACCUUAGAAGAGUCCCACCAUCACUUGCUAGUUUAAUUUUAAACAAAUGAUGGCCAAGCUAUGGCAUUUCUCAGUUUCUACUUUGCUAGUUAAAAAGCAUUGUUUGGAAAGCUGAAAAAUAAAAAGUUAAGGUGUCAUUGAUUGAAAUAGCAUCAAACUCUUGGUUAUUUUUAUGAUUUCAAUUCCAUUUGGGGAUUUGCAUCAGCUUGUGGAAAACAGAUGAUUAGCUGCUAAAACAAUAACAUCUUAAAGUUUUAUUUCAUAAAAUGAAAGCAAAGCUAUAAACUCAAAAGGAACCAGCCCACACAGUCACAGUCAGAUGAGGGGCAAAUGGUCUCCCAAGUUUCAGCUGAGGGGGUGUGUGAACUGCAGGAAGCACACACCCUACAACCUCACACUGAAAGGCAUUUUUUGAAAGCUGGCAAGUGCACAGCGGCUGCCUGGAGUGAGAGGUGGAUGGUCCAUGGCCUUGCGUAGAGCUGGACGGCCACAGACCUUGGACUUGUGCAUGCUGAAUCCAGCAG
RNAcentral lists this long non-coding RNA (6466 nucleotides) under Sus scrofa (pig). Its description in RNAcentral is "lncRNA (ENSSSCG00060005945.1)". The record is from RNAcentral. Lineage: Eukaryota; Metazoa; Chordata; Mammalia; Artiodactyla; Suidae.